Molecule: long non-coding RNA, 419 nt
Filed under: Bos taurus (domestic cattle)
Lineage: Eukaryota; Metazoa; Chordata; Mammalia; Artiodactyla; Bovidae
Description: long non-coding RNA NONBTAT015573
Source: RNAcentral
UGAUGCAGUAUACAAGCAGCCCUUGAUUUUAACUGGUUUUUGUAAUAGGUACAAAUAAUCCCAUACCUUUCUAGGUGCAAUUUUAAGUUAAGCUAAAAUUCUCUGUAGGGUUAAUUUAUUUGUACAUGAUAGUAGAAGGUAAGAUCAUGUCAAAUCUUAUAAUUUGGGGAAUCUGACACUAUUUAAAUUAUUGGCAACUGUUGUCUGUUGUAUAGAGGUUCUCUUUUUCAACUGGCUUGGUCUGUUACAUUAAUAAUGCAUUGUAUAUGUUGAAGCACACAACUUUACAUAAGUUCAAAAUCUACUAGGAAGAUCAAUUUACAAUAUUUUGGCCAUUUAUAACACUAACUUCACUCUGCCAUAAAAUUAAUACUUUUCAUCUGUAAGCAUUAUUAAUAAUCUCCUUUACCAAAAACAUG